GGAGGGGCCAUGGCUCAGUGGAAGAGCCUCCGCUUGGCAUGUAGAAGUCCCCAGGUUCAGUCCCUGGCAUCUUCA
Molecule: transfer RNA, 75 nt
Filed under: Sphaerodactylus townsendi
Lineage: Eukaryota; Metazoa; Chordata; Lepidosauria; Squamata; Sphaerodactylidae
Description: tRNA-Ala
Rfam family: tRNA
About the family: Transfer RNA (tRNA) molecules are approximately 80 nucleotides in length. Their secondary structure includes four short double-helical elements and three loops (D, anti-codon, and T loops).
Source: RNAcentral